RNAcentral lists this ribosomal RNA (493 nucleotides) under uncultured bacterium. RNAcentral's name for it is "partial 16S ribosomal RNA". It matches the Rfam family "Bacterial small subunit ribosomal RNA", at positions 28 to 507 of the family's 1533-position model. The record is from RNAcentral.
GACGAACGCUGGCGGCGUGCCUAACACAUGCAAGUUGAGCGACGAACCAGGGCUUGCCCUGGGGCAAAGCAGCGAACGGGCGAGUAACACGUGGGUAACCUACCCCGAUAACCGGGACAACCCGAGGAAACUCGGGCUAAUACCGGAUGUGCUCACUGGACUUCGGUUCAGUGCGUAAAGGAAGCUUCGGCCUCCGUAUCGGGAGGGGCCCGCGGCCCAUUAGUUUGUUGGUGAGGUAACGGCUCACCAAGACCGCGAUGGGUAGCUGGUCUGAGAGGACGAUCAGCCACACUGGGACUGAGACACGGCCCAGACUCCUACGGGAGGCAGCAGUGGGGAAUCUUGCGCAAUGCGCGAAAGCGUGACGCAGCAACGCCGCGUGGGGGAAGAAGGCCUUCGGGUUGUAAACCCCUUUCAGGGGGGACGAAGGUUCGGCGGUGAAUAGCCGUCCGGACUGACGGUACCUCCACAAGAAGCCCCGGCUAACUACGUG